UACAGAGGUCCCAAGCGUUGUUCGGAUUCAUUGGGCGUAAAGGGUGCGUAGGUGGCAUGGUAAGUCGGGUGUGAAAUCCCGGGGCUCAACCCCGGAACUGCACUCGAUACUGCCGUGCUCGAGUACUGGAGAGGAGACUGGAAUUUACGGUGUAGCAGUGAAAUGCGUAGAUAUCGUAAGGAAGACCGGUGGCGAAGGCGGCCUUCUGGACAGUGACUGACGCUGAGACGCGAAAGCGUGGGGAGCAAACAGG
RNAcentral lists this ribosomal RNA (253 nucleotides) under uncultured bacterium. RNAcentral describes it as "partial 16S ribosomal RNA". It matches the Rfam family "Bacterial small subunit ribosomal RNA", at positions 524 to 776 of the family's 1533-position model. The record is from RNAcentral.